This 440-nucleotide unclassified non-coding RNA is filed under the name Pachira faroensis. RNAcentral's name for it is "partial external transcribed spacer". Lineage: Eukaryota; Viridiplantae; Streptophyta; Magnoliopsida; Malvales; Malvaceae. The record is from RNAcentral.
UGUGAGUGGUGUUUGGUUGUGUGCGUCGGCAGGCUCCGUGCUUAACGCAUCGAACUGUCGACCCUCGUACCUCUUCAAUCUUUCCCCCGCGGUCUAUGUUCCUCGGGGGUGCAAUCGGGAUCCUGUGCUGCUUACCUAUACCGAUGGAAUUCGGAUGUCGUGCCGACCCUCGUCCCUCUCGCGCCUUUACGGACGGGCUGCGCGGGGGACUUUCAUUCGUGCCCGGUGUUCCAAGUGCGCCCCCGAUUCGGUGCGGCCUCCUUGGGGCGCCGGUGCACGAGGGUGCUGACGGAUGCGGAAAGUUUUGUGGGAUUUGGGCCGUGGCCCCGUUGGUUGGAUGCGAUGCGUUUUGUCCCUCGAUAUGUAGGACGCUCGUGCCCCGUCUUGGACUCUUCGUUGCCCAUGGGGCGCGUCGAGGCCCAUGCGGUGCCGACGUCGCU